CCUGAGAAAAGCAGAGGAGGCAGCCCCGCUAACAGACUACUGCACGGCUUUACAGGGCAAGGAACUGGGUUAUGGUGGGAGAGCUAAGUUGGGUGUGCAAGAGGGCUGAGUCGGGGUUGGGGAGCUGAGUCGGGGGUGCAGGUGUCUUGACCGUAUCCUGGAGAUGUUUUUUGCCAACUUUGUUAUGCGAGGUGAACAGACAUGUUAACCGCAUCCUGUAACUGCCUGGAGAAACAGUUACUGGAGGAGCCAGUGAAGGGGGUUUUGUCUUUAGCCCUGGGGAUACUGUGCGGAGGUCACAAAGGACUGCAUUGAUUGUGUUAUCUAUUUGAGAUCCCCUGAGAUUCCAUAUGAAUGGCAGAAAAGAAUGUCAGAGAUACCUGAAGCAUGAGAAGAAUUGGAUGUGUCACUGCUGGUUUUGAAAAUAGAAUGGGUCAUGUACAAGUAAAAGACGCAGGAGCUGAGAAUGACCUUUGGUUGACAGCCAAUCAGAAAAUGAAGACUUCCCUCUACAACUGCAAAGAAAUGAAUUCUUACAGCUACUGGAGUGACCUUGGAAGCAGAUUUUUUUCUCCAGAGACUCCAGGUAAGAGCCUAGCCCUACUGGCAACUUGGUUUUAUUCUUGUGAGAAGUUAAGCAGAGACUCAGGCAAAACCAGUCUGGCUUCUGACCUAUGAAAUUGAGGUAAUAGGUUGGUGCUGUGUUAAGAUGUUAUGUGGGUAGAGAUUUUUUUCCAUUUGUUUACUGUUAAGCCCUUAGUUCCUAGAAUUGAACUUGAUAUUUAAGAAGCAUUUGAGAAAUAAUUCCAAUUAAUCUACUUGGCUAAACACCAUGAAGAGUGUCAUACUGUUUAAUCCCAUACACAAACCCUAGAUAUUUAACUGUAAAUUCAGUUAGUUAAAAGAUGAAAGGUUUGAACUUUGAAGAAUCAAGCUAAAAGUUUUCAAUAAUUUCUGAUAAAAUUUUAUUAAAAUUAUAAAAAGCAUCAAUGAUAUAUUUACAAGUGUUUACAUCAUUUUUUAAUGAACUGAUUACCAGACACUAAAUACCUAAUGUAAUGCAUGUUUUAUUGUACUUUAUGUGACACAAAUUAAUUUUCAGUAGAGGCAGGAAACCUAUCUCUAAGGUAAUUAGUCAUGGUCAAGUCUUAAUUAUCUUCUUAAAUAGGAAAACAACAGGCAUAUAAAGAUAUCUACUAUGAUAUUUUUGAGUGGUAAUUUAUUUUAUUUUGUAAUAUUAUUUCUACUAAAAUAGAAACAUUUGGUGAUAUAGAUUUCAACACAAGGUCUUUGAAAUAAUACUCAAUUCUGAACACCUUCAACCCUUCUUGUACUGUACAUUCUUUCCAAACCUUUCAAGGUGCUUUUAUCUCUAUUUUCUACAUGAGGAGAGUGAGACAGAGAGAUGUUCAGCAACUAGCUCAAGGUCAGAAAGCUUGAAUUGGUAAGUCUAAGGUUUCAGCACAGGUGGCUGCAUAUCUAAAAUUCCAUGCUUGUCUCAUUCCGUUACACUGUCAAUCUGAAUCUUUUGUUGAUUAAAUGCAUUUAUAAUUAUUAUUUAUAUAUAAAUAGAUAUCCAUAUUUAAAUAUCUGUACAGUGUUUGUAACAGAGCUUUAUUGAAUAUGAAUAAGAUAUGAUUAUUAUUUUCCCAGACAAAAAUUUUAUUUUGGCAUCUGUUAAGAAAAAUUGGCUUAUCUAAAUGAUGAGGGCAAGAAUCUUUUGCAAAACAUAUGCAGAAGCAACUUUGAUUUACAAAAUUAAUGAAUAACCUUCUUUUAACUAAUUAUCCAUUAACUGAAAUUUCUUUUCCUGCCUUCUUGCCAGCCUUCCUUCCCUUCUUCCUUUCUUUUUCUUGUUUCUUUCUACAUACAUUUAUUCAGAGUACACUGUAUGACCUGAAUUAGGCUCUAGGCUAAAUUAAACAUGAGAGAUUUGUCUUUCAUAUUUUGGAAGCUUUGAGAGAAGGAUUCAAGGUGAUAUAUUGAUGGGGAGCUGAGACUGUAAGAUGAGACAUGAGUAGGUGUUAGUCUUAAGAGGGACCAUUUUAAAAAAGAAAGACAGCAAAGAGAUAGGAAUAUUCCAGACUGAAAUAAAGCAACCAAAAUGGAGAACUUGUAUUUUUAUUUUGUUAUUGCUGUUUUGUCUUAUUUUGUUUUAUUGCAGGAACUGAAAGAGGUGUAGUGUUGUUGGAUAAUAGAGUACAUUUUGGGGGUAAGCGACGAUAUGGAGAGAGAGAUUUAAAAUGACGAGAUUUGUGUUUGCAAUGCCUUCUAGGUCACAUUAACAAAGUUGAAAUGUAUGUGGUUCCACUGAAGGGAAUGCAGUAAAUAGAUGUUUUAUUUGUUCAUUCACUCAUUCAACCAUAUGCAUUGAAGGCUUGUUUUGUGUACUAUGUGCCAGGUGUUGGUGCAUUGGUGAGAAGUUACAGACAGCAGUGAAUUUCUCAUUGUCAGGGGCCUUUCCCUCAUGGAGCUUAUUAUCUGGACUGAUGGUUUUGAAUGGUCAUUUUGGUGUAACAUAAAUAAUAAAUAGUAGCAAAGAAAGACCAGAUAGAAGGAGCUGGAAUAGGAAACAAAUAGCGAUGAUUGUCUGAGCUAGGGACUCAGGAUCUAGCAACAAGGAUGUCAGUGGUGACAGACAAGAGGAUAUAUUGGAUGGAGGAGGCAUUUAGAUCAAACUUCUUUUUGUAAAGGAAGGACAGGGUGAAUGGCAGUUACUGUCUAUGCUUGUAACUGUAUUUUCAGUCCUUGACUAGUAAUUCAACCUUGACUCUAAAAUAACUAUAUUUGAGAAGUCAUUGAUUCCAACCAUUCUUGAUUUUUAAGAAUGUUCUAUAUCUGUUUAACUCAGUAAUGGGUGUUGAACUGAUGAAUUCAAGCCCUUUUCCCCAAUAUUUUAAAUUCACAAAUAAAUAUUAUUAUUUGGGUAAUGAAUAUCUUGACAUUUUAAACAUUUUCUUUUAAUGUUUAUAGGAAUACAGUCAUGUUCAAUUAAGUAGUACAUGACGUGGUAAUGAGUUGUUAGUCACUCCUCCUUUACCACAAAUAUCUAGUAACCUACUCAAAAAUUUACAUGAUCUCUGCCCAAAUUGACUGUACUGCAACUGCAGUAGCUAUUUGUGCAUUUAUCUUUUGUACCGUGCAAUUAGUUCUUGUAUAGACAAAUUCUCUCUAUAUUUGAUAUGUAAGUAUUGGCUCCCCUCACCAUAUCUUAGACAGAAAUGUUCAAAUAUAUGUUGCUUGAAUUUUCUUCCCUACCCUUAUAAUAAAAAAGUAAAUAAAUUCACUCUCUUUUUUUC
Chlorocebus sabaeus (green monkey) is the source of this 3299-nucleotide long non-coding RNA. RefSeq lists it as uncharacterized. Lineage: Eukaryota; Metazoa; Chordata; Mammalia; Primates; Cercopithecidae. The record is from RefSeq and is a predicted model, not a curated record.